CUGUAGAAGGUUCCAAGGGUUAGGCUGUUCGCCUAUUAAAGCGGUACGUGAACUGGGUUCAGAACGUCGCGAGACAGUUCGGUCCCUAUCUGGUGUGGGCGCAGGAGAUUUGAGUGGGCCUGUCCUUAGUACGAGAGGACCGGGAUGGACGAACCUCUGGUGUUCCAGUUGUCAUGCCAAUGGCACGGCUGGGUAGCCAAGUUCGGUUGUGAUAAACGCUGAAUGCAUAUAAGCGUGAAGCACUCCACAAGAUGAGAUCUCCCAACCCGUAAGGGUGAUGAAGGGCACUGGAAGACCACCAGUUUGAUAGGUUUGAAGUGUAAGACCAGUAAUGGUUUCAGCUUACAAAUACUAAUCGCCCGUUCGGCUUGACCAUAAAA
This 380-nucleotide ribosomal RNA is filed under the name Acidobacteriota bacterium. RNAcentral's name for it is "bacterial LSU rRNA". It matches the Rfam family "Bacterial large subunit ribosomal RNA", at positions 2553 to 2925 of the family's 2925-position model. The record is from RNAcentral. Lineage: Bacteria; Pseudomonadati; Acidobacteriota.